Mustela lutreola (European mink) is the source of this 7871-nucleotide long non-coding RNA. RefSeq lists it as uncharacterized. The record is from RefSeq and is a predicted model, not a curated record. NCBI's taxonomy places the organism in Eukaryota, Metazoa, Chordata, Mammalia, Carnivora, Mustelidae. The transcript has 5 exons.
UCUUCCUGCCGCUUUUCUGCUGACCUCCGCCUUGGCUGGCUUUUCCUUCCCCUUUCCCCAGCCCCUCUCUCUCCACUGCCACCAUGGGCCCAGUAGAGCCUGGGGUGGGGGGUGGGGGAGCCCUAAUUCCACCCUCUCUCCUGCUGGGACCUCCAGACAGGUCCCUGACCCUGCGGCAGACCCGGCAGGGCUGGAGCCCUCUCCCUGCCCCGCCCCCACCACCACCUCCAGGCAGCCUUCAUUCUUAGAAGGUCCUUGGACACACGAAACCGGAAUCUGCUUCCCUGACUUCUCUGCUGCUGCUUCUAAGACCUUCCUCUUGCCCGAUGUCCCCGCAGAGACCGGCAAGCUACAGCCUUUCCUGACCGCGGUCCCUCCGGUAGUCGGUGGUGGUGCCAGCAUCAGAAAAGGGAGCCAUCUUGGCCAAAGUCCUGUGGCAAGAGAGUCACAGAGGAGGGAACGGGGCUUGGGGCUACAGUCCCCAGAAACCUGGCCUUCCCACUGUCCUGAGGACAGUCAAGAAGGAAGCUCGAGCUGCACCUGGUGCUGCUGAAGAAUGGGAUCCCAGCAAAAGUCUGCAGCUCUAGGUCCCCUGAAGGCACUCCAAGAGGACAAAGUCCAGUGGAAUGAAGGUCCUGAGGUGAGGUCUGCCCUGCUUUAUGGGAGCCAGGGGAGCUCCCGGCCCAGCCCUGCCACUCACUUGUUCUGCUGUGAAUGAAUGUGCUCUACCCUCUCUGUGCCUUGGUCUCCGCCCAGCUGCUGCCUCCUUCCCGGGGGUGGAGGGGGGCAGGGUUUCGACUGGCACACAAGGCUCCUUCUGGGCUGCUGCCCACACUAGACCCCCCUUACAAAGGAAUUCCAGGAAACUACCCUUCAAAAACAAACAAAGGGGGGGGGGAGGAAGUUGCAUAGGGAGAGCUAUGCAUCCCCACUGCCCACACCACACACACACACACCCACCUCACAGGUCAAGCUGGAGUCCCAGGUCCAACACUCAGGGCCAUCCUGUGACCUCGAGCAAGUCAUUUAGACUCUCUGAGUCCUCAUCGGUAACACAGUGGGUCUGAGAAUCAAGUUAGACCCUGUAGCUCGGGGCAGAGCACGGACUAAGUGCUCAGGAGGUGGGACUGGGGUUAGGGUUGGGCCACGCCUGCCUGGAUGGCAGAGCAAGACUCCUCCAUCUUCCUCCUUCGGCCUCUGCUACAGCUGGGAUUCACUGGGGGUCAGCGGAAUUCAGGGAUUCUUUUAACAGGUGGAUUUGGUGGGAGGAGCCAAACACCUGGGCCUCACUAGAGAGGGCAGAGAUGGGACGCCCCCCCACCCCAGCUUUAGGCUUUGUAGCAAUGGUGCCCCCCAACACUAGCUAGGAUCAGGGGAUUUCCUGGUCACAGCAAACAAGACCUCCCAAACAUUUUUGAAUAGAAGCUACCACCCCCUAGAUCCCCAUUCUAGAAGGAAUGCUUUGACUUUCAGGAACCCACUCCUCUCUCCCUAAAAUUGAUUAUGGAUAUUGGAUCUAAGAAGUCAUCAGAGCCUUGGUGGUUUGCCUCCUCAGGUGGUAGAUGGGAGAGCUAAAUCCAAUCUCACAGACAUCCCUGGGAAUUGCCUCUGUGCUGGUCCUAUACUGGAAGUCCCUGUCCCCCAGGGCUCCUAUCCAAUGGGGAAGACAGUCCAUGAACAUCACCAAAGGCAACACAAGAUGGAAAGUGCUUUGAGCCGUGAGAGACUGAGAUCAGGGAAAAGGGAGACCACCUCUGACUGAUAAGUAGAUUCCCGGAAGGCUUCCUGUAGGAAGUGGCAUUGAGCUGGGUCUGAAGGAUAGCUAAGAUGUGUCUCUUUCUCUCUCUGGAGGAAAAAAAAAAAAAUUGAAACAAAACGAGAAAACAAAGGAAUAACCACUUCUAUUUUCACAACCCCAAGUUAACACUUGGCCAAGUUUUCAUUUUGAUCCACAUACAUGAAAUGACUUUCCGGUAACUUUAAUUUCUUCCCCUUGUCCCCAGUGGCAAUUUCCAUUAUGAAUUUGGUAAAUAUCCCUUCACAACUCUGCCUCUAAAAUAAUUAAUUUAUAGUGCAAAAUAGGGUCAGGAAUAAUUUUUUUUAAUUACUUCGUGUCAUUCCAGUUUACAUAAGGGGUGUCACACUGUCUCUGUGACUCUGUUUGCUUUUUCCACUGCCCGUUAUGUUUCGGGGGCUCUCUGGUUCAAACACAUGGCUGGGGCUCCCCACACGGCAUCCCACGGAUGCACCGUGCUUAUGUACUCCUGGACUUGGUCGGGUUUCCACGGAUCGAGGUCAUCCAGGGAGGCAUUUCAGGUAGAGGAAGCAGUGGCAGCAAAGGCUCAAGGAUGGGAAAAGUGGGGGGGCGCAUCUGGGGGGCUGGCAGGAGUCCAGGGUGGAGGGAGCACCAGCAGUGUGUGGGAGUGCUGAGGGAGGCCUCAAGCCCCAGGCCAGGAAUCCACUGCUGGCAUGCUGGCCAUCUGGGAGUGUGGGGACAGACCCUCCCCCCCUUAGAACCGCCCUCCACAAUAAUUCCACUUAUCCACCCUCCAAGUCCUCCCCAGGGAGGCCUCUGUUACUCUUUCCAUUAAUUGUCUCAUUAAUGACCCACUGAAGUCAAGUAUCCAUUGUUCUCUGGGCCUGGGGCAGCCUCCCCGGCUUUCUACCCUGGGGGGUUUGUAAACGUCUUUCCUUCCCCGCUUUCCUUUGGCAGGCGCCCUUAUCUGGUCCCUGCAGCCCUGGCCCAGGCUGCUGCUGCCCCUUCCUCCACCCCCACCCUGCCCACGGGCCCGCCGCGGCCUCCACCUCCACCAGCUCCUAGCGCGCUCGCCCCCUCGCCUCCCUCUGCCUCACUCCGUCUCCGCUCUCUGCACGUCUCUUCCCGGUUUUCUGUUCUCUUUCUUUUCUCUUCCUUUCUUCUUCUCUCUCCCUUAACUGUGUUUCUCUCCCUGGAUUUCUGCUGCUUUCUCUCUUCGCGUGUAUUUAUCUCCCUCUGUGUCUCUAUCUCCGUGUCUCUCUCUGGGGGUCUUGGAAAAUCUCUUCAGGAUGAUCGCCUCAUUCUUAACCCUCUGUUUCUUUCCGUCUUUGUCUCCGUCUCUCAUCUGUCACUACCUGCUGACUGUGUUGUGUGUCUCUCUUUGUCUCUCUGAUUCUGCCUCUUUCUCCCUCCCUCUGGCCUUUGUGCAUCUCUCUGUCUCUCCCUCUCUGUUUGUCUCAUGUCUGUCUCUCUCCUCUCUCCGACUCACCUCUCCCUAGCUGUCCCUCCUCCCGUGGGUCUCUGAACCUUCCUGAUUGACUAUUGUCCUGUUUCCAACCCCACUGCCUGCUCACCCACUGGGUCCCUGACACCCACACUGGUUGGAGUUUCCCUCUGUUGCCUUGUUCCCUGGUUACCGCUCCGGCUUCCCUUGGGUGAUGGUGUCAGGACAGCAGUGCUAGGAGUAGGCGUGACAUCCCGUAGCUAGCAGACUUCGGGAUUCAUGCAUCUGUUAGGUUAAAAACAAAACAAAGCAAAAAGGAAAAAAAAAAAAAAUCCACAAAACCCGAGGUGACCAAUAGAGGGUGUUUAUCUUUCUAAAUGGGAUUUUUUUUUUCUAGAAUCACCAACUUCUUCUCAUUCUGUAAUAUAAAGAACACUUUAAGACCAGCAGUGAAAGCAGCAAAAGCAAGAUCGAACAGUAAUAGAAUAGUCCUUUAAGUGAAAUCAAUAUAAUUUUAUGAAAACAUUUGCAACAUUAUGUGUAUUUUACUUAUUCUGCCCCAAAUGCAUGACGCUAUUGUCAGGGACCCGUCCAGUCAGAAACCACUGCUCUUGUGCAAGCCCCUCACUGGACCCAUGGGGAAACGGAGUGACUUUUGCUUUGGGUAGAAAAGGCAAAGCUGGGACAGGACCCUUAGCUCUUGGCCAGUUGGCCACUCCCUCAUCCCAUGGGGCCCCUCUGGUCUCUUCAUUGACAGAACUUCCGGAGGCUGCCUGGCUGGGGGUGCGGGGAGGGCAGACACCAGACCCCUGCAUUCUGUGCCUUCCUCUGGUCCUAUGUGUCUCUGAACAAUUUAACCCCUUGCUGUGCUUCACUUUCCUCAUUUGUAAAAUGAGCAAAAAUAAUAACUAGCUUCCUAGUUAUUAUAGAACAACUAGCCUCACGCACAAGAAAGGUCCAGGACUGUUAGCCACGAUUAGUAUUAUUAUCACAAAGUGGAGGGGGGUAAUUUGGGCCGAGGCUAGAGCCUGGGAGAGGAGGCACAUGUACCCCCCCCACCCCAGGGUGGAGGGGGGGUGGUCAGGCUGAGCGCCGAAUGUCACGGGGAAUACCGGCCUGGGACCCCAGCAAGGCUGCUCUGCGGGGCCGAGGGUGGCACCCUGCCUCUUCAGGAACCCACCCAGCUUGUUCAGGCACCCCAAGCCCAGGAGCCAGCAUUCCAGUCACGGACAUGGGCACUCCCAGAGGGAGCAAAGGCGAAGCUUCAGGUGGCAUUCAUGACUGCAGAGGCGAGCAAGGGGGACCCUGGACACGAGAGGAGCAGGGUGGACGCCAGUGACCAUGGACACCAUGGGAGGCAGCCUUCAGAUGCCCAGAAAUCCUGGAGGCUGACUCAGCGGAUGAGGUUGGAGGUCUGAGCAAACAGCUGCUCCGAGCCAUGCACUGUCCUGGGCAGGGGAUGCACGGAGGAGAAGAACAGGCAAUGUUCUUUCCAGGGAUUCACACGAGGCUGUCUUGUGCUGGUGGUGGUCUGCCUCUGAGGAAGGCCAGACACAGGGCGAGGCCAGCCUGAAACAUUUGACGCUUAAUGUUCCCCGGUGCGUACCACUCCAGGAUGUGCCCGGAAAGGAGAACGCUUUGAAGGAUUAUCAGUACAUGUGCAUGAGUUUGGUCACCUCCUAAAAGAAACAGAGUUUCAUACAAACAUGCAAUGGAACACUAUUCAGCCUCAAAAAGGAGAGACAUUCUGACACCUGCUACGAUGUGGAUGAACCUGGAGGAAGCUGUGCCGAGUGAAAGAAGCCAGACACAAACACUAAGAGAGUUCUGGAGGCCUCCUUCUUGUAUGAUGUGAAUGUACAUGCUCUUGCUGAACUGCAUGCUUACAAAUGGUUAAGGCGGCAAAGGUUAAGGAGAUUUUGUCACAAUUAAAGAUAGAGGUCAUUUUCUAAAGAAGCUUCCAAAUGGAUUACAGAACAAAACCCAGCUCUAAAACAGAAACCACGCCUAGAACAGUCAUUUAGAAACCUACAGGUAGGGGCACCUGGGUGGCUCAGUUGGUUUAAGCCUCUGCCUUCAGCUCAGGUCAUGAUCUCAGGGUUCUGGGAUCAGCCCAGCAUCGGGCUCUCUGCUCAGCAGGGAGUCUGCUUCCUCCUCUCUCUCUGCCUGCCUCUCUGCCUGCUUGUGAUCUCUAUCUGUCAAAUAAAUAAAUAAACUCUUUAAAAAAAAAGAAAAAGAAAAAAGAAACCUACAGGUAAAGGAAUGGGAAAGCUACACCAAGCAAAUGUAAACAAGAAGCAAGUGGGGGCUGGGUGCUUGAUAGAGGACAGACUGGAGUCUCAGACUGCAAGCAUCGAGUGAGAUGAAGACGAGCAGAGUCAGGCUCUCCGGGCACCAGACAACUCGCAGGAAGGCAUCCAGCAGAAAUUACAGGAAGUGCAAGAAGCAAUAUGAAUGCUAGUAAUAGGAGACUGAAACACACCAAAAGGCUGAAAAGGAAUACAGAAAACCUAAUAGAAUCUAUAAAGUACAUUUCCCUUGUACAAAUCAAAAUUUGUACACCCCCUCCCCCCACCACACAGAGACGAUACCCUUUAGUGCACAUCAUGGAAACUGACCACGUAUUAGAGCAAAAGAAACCAGAAAGCUUCGCUCAAUGCUUUCAAGGGCAUAGAGGAUGUAGGAGCACUUUGAAAACAGAAAGGGACCAAGCCAGUAUCAGUUAUUCGUGCCAUCGACGCGAUUUCUGUCGUUACUGUCAUUAUCCGCUGGUUCUCUUUCAAGUUCUAGGGGAGUCUGCCCAGCAGGUGGGAGGUGGAAAUAUGCCAACAUAAACCUUCCCCGUCAUCCCUUCUGUGUUUACGGUGUGCCGUCUCCCAUGCAGCUUUCAAAACACACCUUUAUUAGAAAUAGUUAAUUGUUUUAUGAGAGGGGGCUUUCUGCUUCUAUCGCCUUCGGGGCCUGGAGCAGAGCAUUGUGAGUAAGCUUUCUUGAAGACUUACCAACUGAAGUGCACUGAGUAAGGACCGACUUCAAAGUCAGAUCUGAGUUUCAAACUGACAAGCUGAAUGCCCAUUCUGAACCUUGGUUUUCUCGUAUGUAAACAGAUAGGAGCAGUAGUGACACCAGCUGACACUGUUCAGACGUUUAACUCAUGUGAAGUAACUCAUGUGAAGGGUCAGGCAGGGGACCUGCUCUACGGUAGGCAUGCAGUAAAGGUUAGUCUGAGGUUGAGGAAAAGUAGGUAAAACUCACCAAAACAGAUGAACUUCGACUAGAGGUUCUUUUUUCUCAAAAAGCAGGAAAAUCAUCUUGAAAUGAAAACAUCCUCCAAUGCACGUAAAAUGAUUUUUUCAAGAUUCAUUUAUGUAUUUGAGGGGGGUGGGUCAGGAGGCAAAGGAAGAGGGAGAAAGAGGCCCAAGCAGAUUCAUGCCUGGAGCCCCACAUAGGGUUCAAUCCCAUGACUCCGAGACCAAGACCUAAGCCGAAACCAAGAGUCAGACACCCAAACCGACAGUACCACCCAGGCACCACUAUAAAAUGAUUUUUUAAAAUAUCAUGGGGGUGGCGCACCUGGGUGGCUUAGUCGUUGUCUGCCUUUGGCUCAGAUCAUGAGCUGGCUGGGGGUCCUGGGAUCGAGCCCCACAUUGGGGUCCCGGCUUCGGUGGAAACCCUGCUUCUCCCUCUGCCACUCUCCCUGCUUGUGUUCCCUCUCUCACUGUGUCUCUCGCUGUCAAAUAAAUAAAUAAAAUCUUUAAAAAAUAAAUCAUGGGGUAGCAGUGAAGUAAGUUAAGGUACAUCCAUAGUAUGGAAUAGCACACUGCCAUGAAAAAGGGGUGAGUUGUAUCUCCAGGUUCACAUAUGAGUAGGUGGCCAUCAUGUGUUGUUGCGUUUAAAGAAAAAAAAAAAAAAAAAAGCAAGCUUCCCAAUAUGAACAGAAUUGUUUCAUCCUCUGCUUUUUUAAAAAUUAUGUAAGUAUACAGGUCUGGAGGGAUACACAUCUAAUCAUUAAAGGGGAGUAAGAUGGGAAAGUUGGUCUAACUUUUUAUAUUUCAGUUUCUUUGGUAACUUCUAAAACACACAUACACACACACACGAGCAUGUAAGAAAGUAAAAAAAAAAAAAAAAAAAAAAACAAGACAAAAAUUUUUGAAGUCUCUUUGGUCUGUAUGUUUCAUGGGACUUGGAAAGCUGGUGAGCUGAAUGGAGGAGGAGGUUGAUCCUUCUGGCGAGGGUAGGAAUUUGCACCCGCAGCUUUUCUUUGUGAAAGAAAGAGCUUCAAGGAAGGAGAAAGGGAGAAGGCAUUGCCCCAGCAUUGCUCACUACUCAGCAGACCUGAGCAGGUAGUCUCAUCCUGGUCCCUGCCACCACCGCAGCCCGACACAGAAGAACAGAGAAACUCUUUGAUAAAUGUCAACUGAAAUACAGCAAUCAGCUGAAAGCCAUUUGCUGAGCUGUCUGACUGCCCUGGGCUCGGGGUUUUCCUUUAUUCAUUUAUCAUGAUAUACAGCUUUGGCCAACAUACACACAGGAGAGAAAUUGUUGACAUGUGGGACCCAAGUACAGAAAAUCUUUCAUUUUCCAACCCCUCCCCAACCCCGUCUGUUCACCAAAUAAGUUUUUGUUUAUUUAAAGACUACAGAGGAUUUGGCUGUUAAGAACCAAAUGCCU